RNAcentral lists this ribosomal RNA (1298 nucleotides) under Palaemon sinensis. RNAcentral describes it as "16S ribosomal RNA". The stretch from base 601 to 1298 matches the Rfam family "Archaeal large subunit ribosomal RNA", at positions 1423 to 2802 of the family's 2987-position model. Lineage: Eukaryota; Metazoa; Arthropoda; Malacostraca; Decapoda; Palaemonidae. The record is from RNAcentral.
UAAAAGUUUCUUAUUAUUGUAUAAGGGAUUAUAAUUAUUUAUAUAAAAAAUUAAUAAAUUUAAUUUUAAAGUAUUUAAAAGAAAUUUUUAAAGAAAUGAUAGUUUAAAAGUACUGAAAAGGAAAGUUUUGUUAUUUAAAUAAAGCAGUCUUUUAUUGUCGUACCUUUGGUAUCAGGGUUAAGCAAAAUUAAUCGAAUAGUAAGUAUAUCUCGAAAUAAAAAGAGUUAGUGUUAUUAAUAAUUCUAUAUAAUAAAGUAGUUUAUAAUUGAAUGCUAGUGAUGAUAUGUUAGUCGGUUUUUAUAUAUCUGGUUUUUAAUGAAAAAAAUUUAAUUUUAUUUUUCUUUAAAAUUAAGUGAAAAUUAAAAAAUAGGAGGUAAGAGCUUCUUGUUUUUAUAUGAGAAAUUUUAUUUAUUUCUAACUAAGUGGGCUUAAAAUCAGUCGUCUUUUUAUAACGUUAAAGUAAAGUUGUGAUAAUUUUAUAUUUUAUAAUGUUUCUGUUCAUAUUAAUUAAAAAUGUUAGUUAAUUGUUUUUUAGCAAUUAAAAUGUUUGUAUAAGUAUAAUUCUUGUUUUAUUUUAAAAUAAAUUAUUAUUUGUUUUUUAAUUUUUUUUGGUUAUUAAAAAGGAACUCGGCAAAUUAUCUCUUCACCUGUUUAUCAAAAACAUGUCUAUAUGAGCAUUAAUAUAAAGUCUAGCCUGCCCACUGAGUAAUUAAAGGGCUGCAGUAAUUUGACUGUGCAAAGGUAGCAUAAUCAGUAGUCUUUUAAUUGAAGGCUUGAAUGAAUGGCUGGAUGAGGGAGAAACUGUCUUUUUGGUAAAUUAAAAUUUGACUUUUAAGUGAAAAGGCUUAAAUUUAUUAAGGGGACGAUAAGACCCUAUAAAACUUAAUAUUUAUUUAUAUUUUGUUUUUAAAUUUUAAAUAAACUUUACAAAGUUUAGUAUAUAUUUUGUUGGGGAGACAUUGACAUAAUUAAUAACUGUCUAAUUUAAAUGUUUAUAGCUAUUGUUAUUAUAUGAUCCUUCUUUGAGGAUGAAAAGAGCAAGUUACUUUAGGGAUAACAGCGUAAUUUUUUCUGAGAGUUCUUAUCGAAGAAAAUAGUUGCGACCUCGAUGUUGAAUUAAAAUUUCUGUUAGGUGUAGCCGUUUAACAAGUAGGUCUGUUCGACCUUUUAAAUUUUACAUGAUUUGAGUUCAAACCGGUGUGAGCCAGGUUGGUUUCUAUCUUUUAUAUUAUUUUAAGAAAUUCUAGUACGAAAGGAUUGAGUUUUUAAGAUUUUCUUUUUGAAAGAUUUAAGGUAAU